CGAGUGCUUCUCAGGUGGGCGCCCUCGUUCUCCGGCAACCUCUACUCCUUGCAAGGCAGCCUGUCGCUUGAGGUACUGGAAUAUCGGCAGCUCAUCCAAGGGAAUCAGUUUCCAGCCGCGGCCAUAACACCGCAGU
RNAcentral lists this long non-coding RNA (136 nucleotides) under Dermacentor andersoni. Its description in RNAcentral is "uncharacterized LOC126545301". Lineage: Eukaryota; Metazoa; Arthropoda; Arachnida; Ixodida; Ixodidae. The record is from RNAcentral.